This 158-nucleotide non-coding RNA is filed under the name Bradyrhizobiaceae bacterium. RNAcentral describes it as "6S RNA". It matches the Rfam family "6S / SsrS RNA". Rfam says of the family: E. coli 6S RNA was the first non coding RNA to be sequenced, but its function was unknown until recently. Lineage: Bacteria; Pseudomonadati; Pseudomonadota; Alphaproteobacteria; Hyphomicrobiales; Nitrobacteraceae. The record is from RNAcentral.
GCGGGGCUGCGGGGCGCGUCAGGAGACACUAUCCCCGGGGCCUUAUCGAUCCUAACGGGAGCUGUCCCUGGCCUCGCCCCUGGGCUUGGUCACUACGGCGCCCACCUACCUCGUAGGUUUCCCGGGAUCGACACUCCAACGGCUUUUGCGGCUCCGCA